UACGUAGGUGGCAAGCGUUGUCCGGAAUUAUUGGGCGUAAAGCGCGCGCAGGCGGCCUUUUAAGUCUGAUGUGAAAGCCCACGGCUCAACCGUGGAAGGUCAUUGGAAACUGCAAGGCUUGAGUACAGAAGAGGAAAGCGGAAUUCCACGUGUAGCGGUGAAAUGCGUAGAGAUGUGGAGGAACACCAGUGGCGAAGGAGGCUUUCUGGUCUGUAACUGACGCUGAGGCGCGAAAGCGUGGGGAGCAAACAGG
Molecule: ribosomal RNA, 253 nt
Filed under: uncultured bacterium
Lineage: Bacteria
Description: partial 16S ribosomal RNA
Rfam family: Bacterial small subunit ribosomal RNA
Source: RNAcentral